This 249-nucleotide long non-coding RNA is filed under the name Sorghum bicolor (sorghum). RNAcentral describes it as "long non-coding RNA (SBIC_LNC002747)". The record is from RNAcentral. Lineage: Eukaryota; Viridiplantae; Streptophyta; Magnoliopsida; Poales; Poaceae.
CGGGCCCGUUCGCCUUCCCGUUCGUUCCCAUGGCUUCUGGAGUCUUCUAGAUGACAGAAAAUUGCACGGCACGUUAAUAUCUCUAUGUAAACCCGACGUGUGGGCCUUUCUUCCGUAUUUCCUGAUAACCCCUAUAGAAAUAGACAAACACCAAAACUCGUGGAAUUCUGUCAGUUAAAACCCUAAGUCUGGGUGUUGGUUGCAUUUGGAUCCUUUUCUUUAUUUAUUUGAUGAUUAUAUUUGGUACUU